UACAUACAUACAUACAUACAUACAAUAAGAGAAUUUAUUUACAACAUGAUAUCUUUUUAUUAUUAUUUCAGAUAUUUUUCUUUAUUUAGAUAAUAUAAUAAAUCCACCAAAGAACUUAUAUAAAGAAUUCAUUUCUUUACCUGAUUCAAAUACCAUUGCAUUAAUAUGAUAUAAAUAUUUCUCAACAGAAUAGUUUAUGGAACAAUGUGCAUACUGAUGAAUUAGAAUAGUGAUUAAAUAGAACCUAUCAAUUAAUGUUUUUAAAUAUUGUAUUUGAAUACAAAGAUAUAUAAUAUAAAAAAAGUGAGAAGAAAGGAUAACUU
Molecule: long non-coding RNA, 323 nt
Filed under: Physcomitrium patens
Lineage: Eukaryota; Viridiplantae; Streptophyta; Bryopsida; Funariales; Funariaceae
Description: long non-coding RNA (PPAT_LNC000091)
Source: RNAcentral